UACGUAGGGUGCAAGCGUUAAUCGGAAUUACUGGGCGUAAAGCGUGCGCAGGCGGUUAUGUAAGACAGGUGUGAAAUCCCCGGGCUUAACCUGGGAACUGCACUUGUGACUGCAUAGCUUGAGUGCGGCAGAGGGGGAUGGAAUUCUGCGUGUAGCAGUGAAAUGCGUAGAUAUGCGGAGGAACACCGAUGGCGAAGGCAAUCCCCUGGGCCCGCACUGACGCUCAUGCACGAAAGCGUGGGGAGCAAACAGG
RNAcentral lists this ribosomal RNA (253 nucleotides) under uncultured bacterium. RNAcentral describes it as "partial 16S ribosomal RNA". It matches the Rfam family "Bacterial small subunit ribosomal RNA", at positions 524 to 776 of the family's 1533-position model. The record is from RNAcentral.